CAAAUAUCUGUUCAGUCCAUUGGUGUGGAUGACCUGGAUGAUGAGGAUGAUGACGGGGGGACCACCUUGGGAAGAAGGGGAGUAAUGCAUACACGCUCCUCAACUCUUCCUCAAUGAAAUGGUUGACAAAGACCAUGACCCCAUGGCUAGUACAAGAGGCCCACCAUUGCUGAUCGGAAGAUGAAUAUCGUGCCCGUCGCAUCAUGCAGGUCAUAUCCCUGGCGAAUGGAUCCGUUCGCUGGC
Molecule: long non-coding RNA, 243 nt
Organism: Homarus americanus (American lobster)
Lineage: Eukaryota; Metazoa; Arthropoda; Malacostraca; Decapoda; Nephropidae
Exons: 3
Source: RefSeq, a predicted model, not a curated record